Pichia kudriavzevii is the source of this 84-nucleotide non-coding RNA. The record is from Rfam. Lineage: Eukaryota; Fungi; Ascomycota; Pichiomycetes; Pichiales; Pichiaceae.
GGAGGGAUGGCCGAGUGGUCUAAGGCGGCAGACUUAAGAUCUGUUGGACGCAUGUCCGCGCGAGUUCGAACCUCGCUUCCUUCA